This is a long non-coding RNA of Xyrauchen texanus (razorback sucker), 258 nucleotides long. RefSeq lists it as uncharacterized. NCBI's taxonomy places the organism in Eukaryota, Metazoa, Chordata, Actinopteri, Cypriniformes, Catostomidae. The record is from RefSeq and is a predicted model, not a curated record. The transcript is spliced from 5 exons.
GAAAAAACAGGAAGAGACAUUGAUGUACAGGGAAUUCCUGUGGAGUCUACAUGCUGAUGUAUGCACUCAGCACCUGUACAUCAUGUCCAUUAACAUUCACAGAGGAGGAGGUGCCAUUGAUUCGCCAGUGGUGGUGCAUUCAGCUUAUGGAGAGGUUUUGCCUAGAAGGACCAAACUCGCAGUAUCCAGAGUUCCAGUCUUCUGAAGAAGACAUUAUCAUACCUCGGAAGUGCUUGGUACUGAUCCCACCAUCUCCAU